UUCAGUUUAAAAAAUAUGGCU
RNAcentral lists this non-coding RNA (21 nucleotides) under Caenorhabditis elegans. Lineage: Eukaryota; Metazoa; Nematoda; Chromadorea; Rhabditida; Rhabditidae. The record is from RNAcentral.